Molecule: non-coding RNA, 24 nt
Filed under: Arabidopsis thaliana (thale cress)
Lineage: Eukaryota; Viridiplantae; Streptophyta; Magnoliopsida; Brassicales; Brassicaceae
Source: RNAcentral
CACAAAUACAGAUGGUGGUAAUUU